This 253-nucleotide ribosomal RNA is filed under the name uncultured bacterium. Its description in RNAcentral is "partial 16S ribosomal RNA". It matches the Rfam family "Bacterial small subunit ribosomal RNA", at positions 524 to 776 of the family's 1533-position model. The record is from RNAcentral.
GACGUAGGGCGCGAGCGUUGUCCGGAUUUAUUGGGCGUAAAGAGCUCGUAGGCGGCUUGUCGCGUCGACCGUGAAAACUUGGGGCUCAACCCCAAGCCUGCGGUCGAUACGGGCGGGCUAGAGUUCGGUAGGGGAGACUGGAAUUCCUGGUGUAGCGGUGAAAUGCGCAGAUAUCAGGAGGAACACCGGUGGCGAAGGCGGGUCUCUGGGCCGAUACUGACGCUGAGGAGCGAAAGCGUGGGGAGCGAACAGG